RNAcentral lists this long non-coding RNA (1025 nucleotides) under Homo sapiens (human). Its description in RNAcentral is "HSALNT0303632". Lineage: Eukaryota; Metazoa; Chordata; Mammalia; Primates; Hominidae. The record is from RNAcentral.
ACUCCCCGCCUAGCCGCCGCUCCGGCUCAUAAACUAGUAGACGAUAAAAUUGCCUUCUCUGGCCCCAGCGGCUGGGGAUUUGCAAAGUUCUGAGGAAGGCUAUCAGGGCUGACUGUGCUGGGAUCUCUGAUCCCAGCUAGGACCUCAGUCUCCUAACCUGGCUCCCUCUUCCCCACCCCACCCCUGAGAAACGUUGUUUCUGGUCCUGACGGCUGGAAGUGAUUAGUGCUGCAUGGGUCGGGGGCGCAACACUUGGGAGGACCUGGCCUGGCGGAGCGACUGCAACUGGGAAUAGUGGGGAUGCCACGAAGAAGCAAGCACAGGUGAAUGGACCCGAGGCUGCCCCACCUGACGAAAUCAGAACACACAGAGAAGCUGCCGGGAGACCCGGGCCGCAGGAGAGAAGACCCAGGGAACUCCCAGCUGGUGCAACUGCCCAGGAGGGGUCUUUGUCAGUGAGGACUGGCAAAAUCAGUCGAUUUUGUCUGUCUUUAUCUUCUUUUUAUUAAGCUCCCAUAGUUCAGGUAUGUAUGGUUUCCCCAGCCUGCAGAGGCUCAGAAACUGCCAAGGGGAGCAAGGUGCCCUGACCAGAGAGGGGUCACUCCCCAUAGAAGAGAGACUUGAAGGGCAGACUUCACGGACCCAGCUGGAUCUUGGGACAUUCCUGACAACCCAGAAAGCGCUACUGCGGAGUGAACCGGUCCUUAUAUCUUAGUUUCGUGACUUUGGGGGCGGCAGGCCUGUGAGUUGUUUUCCGCCCUGGACGCUGUUUUGCAAAGAUCUCUGCGCGCCCACCGCCACCCUCCCGGGCGUGCGGGCCGGGAAGCAGCCAGCGGUGGGAAACUCCGACGCCCUCCUCGACACUUUUCUCCCCCCAACUCCCCAAGACUCACUUCUAGGGAAGUCCUUUUUCCCAUCAAGCCCUGGGAAAGACUGGCCAGGCUGAGAGAGGGACCCGUCCUCCUCUGUGCCAAAGGCGGGAGCAAAUCCUGGUGCUGUCGCCUUUGGAUGUGAGUCCUGGAAAU